ACGCCUUCUUGCCGGUGUCUGCGUUGCAACCUCGCCUUUGAGAAGAAUGACAUCUUGCUUUUUAAGUACAGGUCUAAUGUUUGCUUAAGGUAAGCCACCGUAAGCUUAAGGUAAGCCAUGCAUAUGUGAUGCAUCGUAUGACGCCUGCGUCUUACUCGUAUUUAACAAUCGAAGUACAUUCUGUUGCAGACGGUGGAAGCAUUGCAAAUGGCGGCAGGAGAGGAUCGGCUGCAUCGGUGAAGCGAUGAUGUACAUUACAAGCGAGGUUAAUUGUAUUCUUCCGUUAUAGGUGACCGUGGGACUGUAUCGAUUGCGAGGAGGUUGUUUCAUGUCUCAACGGUGACACAUACGCGUGCAAGACUGCACAUGGAUUUGGUGUCUGUUGCCACUUGUUGGACAGUUGUUCCUCGGCCAUCUCGUUUGAGGAACCGUCGUGUUCGUCACUAAGGAUCUUCAUUGAGCUUUUAGUGCCAGCUGUUCGAAGUUUCGAGGAUUGUGUGUGUUCGGCGUUUGGAGGACUGCCUGGUGCAUCGGAUCAUCGGAUGGGUUGUGUAUCCGUGCAACGUGUGCUCCAUAUCUGUGUGUUGGGAUUAGUGAACCGUGUAUGUUUUCCAAUCGGCAAACGAUGAUGUACUGAUGCAAUUUAAAGGUAUGUGCAAGCGAAUAAAAUUUGGUGUUUCAUGUUC
Molecule: long non-coding RNA, 686 nt
Organism: Ornithodoros turicata
Lineage: Eukaryota; Metazoa; Arthropoda; Arachnida; Ixodida; Argasidae
Exons: 2
Source: RefSeq, a predicted model, not a curated record